GAGGCUUCCAAAGGGAAAGUCGCUCUGCGCUCUCAGGAUGCACAGCCUGGUAUGCAGGUAGGUGGGGGAGCCACUGAGCCUUCAGCAGGGGUGAGUGAAGAAGGAGAGUGGUGAAGGGUGACAAGCCUUCACUUUGGUUAUUGAAAGGGGAAUUAGGUUUUAAAGUGAAAUGAAAUACAGUUGGGCUUCGCAGGUGGCUCUAGUGGUGAAGAAUCCUGCCUGCCCACGCAGGAGAUGCAAGAGAUAUGGGUUCGAUCCCUGGGUUGAGAAGAUCCCCUUGGAGUAAGAAACGGCAACCCACUUCAGUAUUCCUGCCUGGAGAAUCCCAUGGACAGAGAAGCUUGGCGGGCUACAGUCCGUGGGGCCACGAAGAGUCGGAGGCUACUGAGCACACACACGUGCUUCCUAAGGCCUUCUGGACUUCACACUGCAUGGUGUCUGGCUCUAGGCAAACCAUUCAAUAUCAUGGUGAUCCAAGCCUAUGCCCCAACCAGUAACGCUGAAGAAACUGAAGUUGAACGGUUUAUGAAGACCUAUAAGACCUUUUAGAACUAACACCCAAAAAAGAUGUCAUUUUCAUUAUAGAGGACUGGAAUGCAAAAGUAGGAAGUCAAGAAACACCUGGAAUAACAGGAAAAUUUGGCCUUGGAAUGCGGAAUGGAGCAGGGCAAAGGCUAAUAGAGUUUUGCCAAGAGAACGCACUGGUCAUAGCAAAC
Long non-coding RNA from Ovis aries (sheep), 716 nucleotides. Lineage: Eukaryota; Metazoa; Chordata; Mammalia; Artiodactyla; Bovidae. The record is from Ensembl.